AUUGAACGCUGGCGGCAGGCCUAACACAUGCAAGUCGAGCGGAUGAAGGGAGCUUGCUCCUGGAUUCAGCGGCGGACGGGUGAGUAAUGCCUAGGAAUCUGCCUGGUAGUGGGGGAUAACGUCCGGAAACGGGCGCUAAUACCGCAUACGUCCUGAGGGAGAAAGUGGGGGAUCUUCGGACCUCACGCUAUCAGAUGAGCCUAGGUCGGAUUAGCUAGUUGGUGGGGUAAAGGCCUACCAAGGCGACGAUCCGUAACUGGUCUGAGAGGAUGAUCAGUCACACUGGAACUGAGACACGGUCCAGACUCCUACGGGAGGCAGCAGUGGGGAAUAUUGGACAAUGGGCGAAAGCCUGAUCCAGCCAUGCCGCGUGUGUGAAGAAGGUCUUCGGAUUGUAAAGCACGUUAAGCUGGGAGGAAGGGCAGUAAGUUAAUACCUUGCUGUUUUGACGUUACCAACAGAAUAAGCACCGGCUAACUUCGUG
RNAcentral lists this ribosomal RNA (484 nucleotides) under uncultured bacterium. RNAcentral describes it as "partial 16S ribosomal RNA". It matches the Rfam family "Bacterial small subunit ribosomal RNA", at positions 30 to 507 of the family's 1533-position model. The record is from RNAcentral.